Molecule: transfer RNA, 75 nt
Filed under: Devosia sp. A8/3-2
Lineage: Bacteria; Pseudomonadati; Pseudomonadota; Alphaproteobacteria; Hyphomicrobiales; Devosiaceae
Description: tRNA-Gly
Rfam family: tRNA
About the family: Transfer RNA (tRNA) molecules are approximately 80 nucleotides in length.
Source: RNAcentral
GCGGGUGUAGCUCAAUGGUAGAGCAGAAGCUUCCCAAGCUUACGACGAGGGUUCUGAUUCCCUUCACCCGCUCCA